RNAcentral lists this ribosomal RNA (425 nucleotides) under uncultured bacterium. RNAcentral's name for it is "bacterial SSU rRNA". It matches the Rfam family "Bacterial small subunit ribosomal RNA", at positions 354 to 796 of the family's 1533-position model. The record is from RNAcentral.
GUGGGGAAUCUUAGACAAUGGGGGCAACCCUGAUCUAGCCAUGCCGCGUGAGUGAUGAAGGCCUUAGGGUCGUAAAGCUCUUUCGCUGGGGAAGAUAAUGACGGUACCCAGUAAAGAAACCUCGGCUAACUCCGUGCCAGCAGCCGCGGUAAUACGGAGGGGGUUAGCGUUGUUCGGACUUACUGGGCGUAAAGCGCGCGUAGGCGGAUUGGAAAGUUGGGGGUGAAAUCCCGGGGCUCAACCCUGGAAUGGCCUUCAAAACUCCCAGUCUUGAGGUCGAGAGAGGUGAGUGGAAUUCCGAGUGUAGAGGUGAAAUUCGUAGAUAUUCGGAGGAACACCAGUGGCGAAGGCGGCUCACUGGCUCGAUACUGACGCUGAGGUGCGAAAGCGUGGGGAGCAAACAGGAUUAGAAACCCCGGUAGUCC